GAGUUUGAUCAUGGCUCAGAUUGAACGCUGGCGGCAGGCUUAACACAUGCAAGUCGAGCGGGCGAGGUUGCUUCGGUAACUGAGCUAGCGGCGGACGGGUGAGUAAUGCUUAGGAAUCUGCCUAUUAGUGGGGGACAACAUUCCGAAAGGAAUGCUAAUACCGCAUACGCCCUACGGGGGAAAGCAGGGGAUCUUCGGACCUUGCGCUAAUAGAUGAGCCUAAGUCAGAUUAGCUAGUUGGUGGGGUAAAGGCCUACCAAGGCGACGAUCUGUAGCGGGUCUGAGAGGAUGAUCCGCCACACUGGGACUGAGACACGGCCCAGACUCCUACGGGAGGCAGCAGUGGGGAAUAUUGGACAAUGGGCGCAAGCCUGAUCCAGCCAUGCCGCGUGUGUGAAGAAGGCCUUUUGGUUGUAAAGCACUUUAAGCGAGGAGGAGGCUACUUGGAUUAAUACUCUAGGAUAGUGGACGUUACUCGCAGAAUAAGCACCGGCUAACUCUGUGCCAGCAGCCGCGGUAAUACAGAGG
RNAcentral lists this ribosomal RNA (528 nucleotides) under uncultured bacterium. RNAcentral describes it as "bacterial SSU rRNA". It matches the Rfam family "Bacterial small subunit ribosomal RNA", at positions 9 to 531 of the family's 1533-position model. The record is from RNAcentral.